Molecule: small nucleolar RNA, 125 nt
Organism: Trichechus manatus latirostris (Florida manatee)
Lineage: Eukaryota; Metazoa; Chordata; Mammalia; Sirenia; Trichechidae
Product: small nucleolar RNA SNORA31
Exons: 1
Source: RefSeq, a predicted model, not a curated record
CUUCAUCCACCGAUAGACCUUGAACAAUUUGCUGUUGUUAUUUUGGCUUGCACUAGGAUGCAAAAAACUCCCUGCACUUUCUGUCUGUCUUUGUGGCAGCCCAGAUUGAAUGAGCGAAUAUAUCU